AGUAGGUAAGUGUGCUCCCGGGACUCAGCCCCGAGCCCCGCAGUCCCGGCGUGAGCGGGAGCUGCGCCCCGGGCUGCCCUCGCCCCGCAGAGCAGCGGGGGAAGCAGCGAGCCUACACCGGCACCCGGGGUACGGGAGGGCGAGACCCCGCGGCUUCACCUGCCCGUGGGGAUGGAUCCCUGCAGGAGCCAUUGCUGCUCAACAGCCACCGCUUUGCACUAGACAAUGUGGCAGCCUCCCUGCGAGCCUCGCUACAAGCCAGUGCUGAGUGCCAUCUGGAGAACCGAUGCCGGAGUCAAGCAACAACAUCCUGUCAUAUUUUAUCUGGAACUUUGGAACAAAACAACUAAUAACAUCUUAAGCUUCAUUUGUCUGGCUCUCUCAUGCUCUUGGCAGAGGUCAUAACCAAUGGUGGCUUUGCUGAUUUGCUGCAUCAAAACUAAUUAGGUUACAGUGCUCACUGACAGAGCCUCUCAUAAUGGCAUAAAAGCCUCAGGCUUUAACUUUAUUCAUUAUGUCAAGGUAAAGUUUCACACUCAUAAAACUUGCACCUGUGUCAUCUUCUCCGUCAUAAUUUUAACAUCCAUUAACAGUGCUUAUUCAGCUUGACAGAGUUAUUGACUCCCAUAUUUCAUUUUCCCUUCCCUCUUAAAAAAUGCUGCUGUUGAUAAGUGGGGCUCAUGGCAUGAAGGCACGUGCCUGACGUUGUAGAUGCAAAAUUCCAAGCACAGCCUCGUUGCUUUUUGCAUUCUUUACAGCAGCAAGAAUGCCCCAAUGUGACUAGAUGGGGUCUGUAUGCACUGAGACUGACUACUGCUUCCUCUGAAGAAAGCCUGGCGGUGAAUCUGGGUGCUGCAGACUUGAGAAACUGCUGUCAACAAACCCAAGGAGACAAGAAGGAGCCCUGGGCCCUUUGGUGUUUGGCAGAUUCAGUCACUGAAAUGCUGAGCCCAAAGCUGAAGCCUGAGCAGAGUUUGUUUCACAGAACUAUUGAAUGCCAUUGGAAACUUUGUUUUAGCUUGUUGUUUAAAAAUAUAGGCAAUCUGAGGACAAUGCAUUUCCAGGACUUUAUAUAAUAUGUAGAGUACUGUGAGGGGAUGUUUUUAAUGUAUUUGCAGUUUGCAGUUUAGUAUCACAGAGCAAGGAGAAUGUCUUAGCUUGGUUUUUUCCAUUCCUGUAACCUGUACUAUAGAUACAGAUAAUACCAUUCAAGAGGGAACAGAAGGUUGCAUUUGCAUUUGGAGCUGGUAAGUGGCACAUUAU
RNAcentral lists this long non-coding RNA (1263 nucleotides) under Cyanistes caeruleus (blue tit). RNAcentral's name for it is "lncRNA (ENSCCEG00000023364.1)". The record is from RNAcentral. Lineage: Eukaryota; Metazoa; Chordata; Aves; Passeriformes; Paridae.